RNAcentral lists this long non-coding RNA (1170 nucleotides) under Sus scrofa (pig). RNAcentral's name for it is "lncRNA (ENSSSCG00000041464.1)". Lineage: Eukaryota; Metazoa; Chordata; Mammalia; Artiodactyla; Suidae. The record is from RNAcentral.
AUGUAGUGUCCUGAAGAUAUCAAUUAAGUCUAACUUUUCUAUUGUUUCCUUUAGGAUCUCUGUUGUUUAUUGGUUUUCUGUCUAGAGGAUCUGUCCAUUGAUGUGAGUGGGGUAUUAAAGUCUCCUACUAUGAUUGUAUUCCUAUCAAUUCCUCCCUUUAUGUCUGUUAAUAUUUGUUGUAUGUAUCUGAGUGCUCCUAUAUUUGGGGCAUGUAUGUUGAUGAUAGUGAUAUCUUCUUCUUGAAUGGAUUCUGUAAUCAUUAAAUAGUGUCCUUCUUUGUCUUUCUUUAUGGCUAUUGUUUUAACGUCUAUUUUGUCUGAUAUGAGUAUUGCAGCUCCUGCUUUUCUGUCAUGUCCAUUGGCAUGAAAUAUUUUUUCCCACUUCCUCACUUUCAAUCUAUGUGUCCUUUGUCCUAAGGUGAGUUUCUUAUAGGCAGCAGAUUGAAGGUUUUUGCCUUUUUAUCCACUCAGCCACUCUGUGUCUUUUGAUUGGAGCAUUCAGUCCACUGACAGUUAAGGUGAUAAUUGAUAGAUGAUUGUUUAUUGCCAUUGUGAACCUCAUUUUCCAGUUGAUUCUAUAAUUCUCCAUUCUUUAUUUUUUUGGUUGGAUGGUCUCCAAUUAUUUCCUGCUUGAGUGUUUUUCUUUUCAUUUUUUGUGAAUGUAAUGUUUGGUUUUGGCUGGUGGUUGCCCUGUUUUUUAAGUAUGUUAACCCCUUCCUAUAAUAGUGUGUUUUAGCCUGAUAGUCCUGUAGAUUCAAACACUUCAUUACCAUAAUAAAAUUAAAAAGAAAAUUAAUAAAGAAUCUAUUUAUUUCCUUACUUCCCUUGCCCACAUUUUAUGAUUUUGCUGUCUCUUUUUUCUUUUUAAUUUUAUUUUGUUUUAAACAUCUUACUGAUUAGAUCUGCAUGCUAGCUUAUUUGAGUGACUGCUCUCUUAUUGAGUUCCCGUCAUGGCGCAGUGGUUAACGAAUCCAACUAGGAACUAUGAGGUUGCGGGUUCAGUCCCUGCCCUUGCUCAGUGGGUUAACGAUCUGGCGUUGCCAGAGCUGUGGUGUAGGUUGCAGACGCGGCUCGGAUCCUGUGUUGCUGUGGCUCUGGCGUAGGCGGUGGCUGCAGCUCCGAUUGGACCCCUAGCCUGGGAACCUCCAUAUGCCGCGGAGCGGCCCAAGAA